GAUGAAGAACGUAGCGAAAUGCGAUAAGUAAUGUGAAUUGCAGAAUUCAGUGAAUCAUCGAAUCUUUGAACGCACAUUGCGCCCGCCAGCAUUCUGGCGGGCAUGCCUAUUCGAGCGUCAUUUCAACCCUCGAGCCCCCCCGGGGGCCUCGGUGUUGGGGGACGGCACACCAGCCGCCCCCGAAAUGCAGUGGCGACCCCGCCGCAGCCUCCCCUGCGUAGUAGCACACACCUCGCACCGGAGCGCGGAGGCGGUCACGCCGUAAAACGCCCAACUUUCUUAGAGUUGACCUCGGAUCAGGUAGGAAUACCCGCUGAACUUAAGCAUAUCAAUAAGCGGAGGA
RNAcentral lists this unclassified non-coding RNA (343 nucleotides) under soil metagenome. RNAcentral describes it as "partial contains 5.8S ribosomal RNA, internal transcribed spacer 2, and large subunit ribosomal RNA". The stretch from base 1 to 120 matches the Rfam family "5.8S ribosomal RNA", at positions 35 to 154 of the family's 154-position model. The record is from RNAcentral.